This 585-nucleotide ribosomal RNA is filed under the name uncultured Ascomycota. RNAcentral describes it as "partial 18S ribosomal RNA". The stretch from base 212 to 365 matches the Rfam family "5.8S ribosomal RNA". Lineage: Eukaryota; Fungi; Ascomycota. The record is from RNAcentral.
GAAGUAAAAGUCGUAAACAAGGUUUCCGUAGGUGAACCUGCGGAAGGAUCAUUACAGAAAUAGGAGAAGGUUGCUUAACUGCAAUCCUUUUCUUUCUACACAUGUGUUUUUCUUUUUUUUGAAAACUUUGCUUUGGUGGGCCCACGGCCUGCCAGAGAUUAAACUCAACCAAAUUUUUAUUUAAUUGUCAACUUGAUUAACUAAUAGUCAAAACUUUCAACAACGGAUCUCCUGGUUCUCGCAUCGAUGAAGAACGCAGCGAAAUGCGAUAAGUAAUAUGAAUUGCAGAUAUUCGUGGAUCAUCGAAUCUUUGAACGCACAUUGCGCCCUUUGGUAUUCCAAAGGGCAUGCCUGUUUGAGCGUCAUUUCUCCCUCAAACCUUCGGGUUUGGUGUUGAGCGAUACGCUGGGUUUGCUUGAAAGAAAGGCGGAGUAUAAACUAAUGGAUAGGUUUUUUUUUCCACUCAUUGGUACAAACUCCAAACAUUCUUCCAAAUUCGACCUCAAAUCAGGUAGGACUACCCGCUGAACUUAAGCAUAUCAAUAAGCGGAGGAAAAGAAACCAACAGGGAUUGCCUUAGUAACG